ACAAGCAGCGGAGCGUGUGGUUUAAUUCGUUGCUACACGAAGAACUUACCUGGGUUUGACAUAUAGGUUGUAGGGAACUGAAAGGGACCGACCCUUCGGGAGCCUAUACAGGUGUUGCAUGGCUGUCGUCAGCUCGUGUCGUGAGAUGUUCGGUUAAGUCCGCUAACGAGCGCAACCCUCGUCGUAUGUUAUAUGUGUCAUACGAGACUGCCGGUAAAAGCCGGAGGAAGGUGAGGAUGAUGUCAAGUCAGCAUGACCUUUAUAUCCAGGGCUACACACACGCUACAGUGGUCUGUACAAUGGGUAGCCAAGCCGCGAGGCGGAGCCAAUCCUGAAAGCAGGCCUCAGUUCAGAUUGCAGUCUGCAACUCGACUGCAUGAAGCCGGAGUUGCUAGUAACCGCAGGUCAGCAAUACUGCGGUGAAUACGUUCCCGGGUCUU
This 440-nucleotide ribosomal RNA is filed under the name uncultured Anaerolineaceae bacterium. RNAcentral's name for it is "bacterial SSU rRNA". It matches the Rfam family "Bacterial small subunit ribosomal RNA", at positions 925 to 1382 of the family's 1533-position model. The record is from RNAcentral. Lineage: Bacteria; Bacillati; Chloroflexota; Anaerolineae; Anaerolineales; Anaerolineaceae.